This 756-nucleotide ribosomal RNA is filed under the name uncultured bacterium. RNAcentral describes it as "bacterial SSU rRNA". It matches the Rfam family "Bacterial small subunit ribosomal RNA", at positions 8 to 796 of the family's 1533-position model. The record is from RNAcentral.
AGAGUUUGAUCAUGGCUCAGAAUCAACGCUGGCGGCGCGCUUAACACAUGCAAGUCGCACGAGAAAGGGGAGCAAUCCCUGAGUAAAGUGGCGUACGGGUGAGUAACACGUGGAUCAUCUACCUUUUAGUGGGGAAUACCCCCGGGAAACUGGGGACAAUACCGCAUAAGCUCGUGAGAGGAAAGCAGCAAUGCGCUGAAAGAGGAGUCCGCGGCUGAUUAGCUAGUUGGUGAGGUAACGGCCCACCAAGGCGAAGAUCGGUAGCCGGCCUGAGAGGGCACACGGCCACACUGGCACUGAAAUACGGGCCAGACUCCUACGGGAGGCAGCAGUGGGGAAUCUUGCACAAUGGAGGAAACUCUGAUGCAGCGACGCCGCGUGAACGAUGAAGCCCUUCGGGGUGUAAAGUUCUUUCGACGGGAACGAUAAUGACGGUACCCGAAGAAGAAGCUGCGGCUAACUACGUGCCAGCAGCCGCGGUAAUACGUAGGCAGCAAGCGUUGUUCGGAAUUACUGGGCGUAAAGAGUGCGUAGGCGGUGCUCUAAGUCUGUUGUGAAAUCUCCCGGCUUAACUGGGAGGGUGCAGCGGAAACUGGAGUGCUUGAGGGUGGGAGAGGUAAGCGGAAUUCCUGGUGUAGCGGUGAAAUGCGUAGAUAUCAGGAGGAACACCUGUGGUGUAGACAGCUUACUGGACCACUUCUGACGCUGAGGCACGAAAGCGUGGGUAGCAAACAGGAUUAGAUACCCCCGUAGUCC